Molecule: long non-coding RNA, 828 nt
Organism: Humulus lupulus (European hop)
Lineage: Eukaryota; Viridiplantae; Streptophyta; Magnoliopsida; Rosales; Cannabaceae
Exons: 4
Source: RefSeq, a predicted model, not a curated record
UGCAAGCUCGUUAAAAACCUAGCUCGACUUUUGCACGACUGUGGAUCGGUACACCAUCGAGUUUCUCAACAGGGAAGAUCCGACGACUCUCUUCCUCCAUCGUCAUCGCUCAGCUCAGUCCAUCUCUGCUUCUCGGUCCAGUGAGGGGAGGAUAUCAGUGUAUGUGUCUGUUUGGCAAGCUUGAUAUCAUUAUUUGAUGAUGAAGGAACAUUUGAUGGUGGGAAAUUUUUUAGCUAGAAUUACAUUACCAAAUUGGAAAUGAGGAAAAUAUUAGUUCUGAUUUGCAAAUUUGCAGUAAAUGCCCGGCGAUCAAGAGGAAAUCUCAAAUAAUUCGUCCUAACUAUGCGAUGCUUACUGUACGUGAAGUUGUUGGUUCAACAGUUGCAUGGCCUUCUCAAAAGGUUAUUCCAAGAUGAUUUAUUUGGUUAUUUGAUUAUAUAAAUGCUUGUUCAACAUUAACCGAUAUGCAAUCCAUGAUUAUUGUAAAUUUGGUUACGCAUCAUGAUAUUAUUGACUGUUUUAGAUGAAUGAUAUGAUAUUUCAUGACCUCAUUAGUUUUUAUUUUAUGUUUUAUUUACUAUAUUCAACCAGUGAAGUGCAAAAUAAAAUCUAAUUUGGAAGGCUUUGGUGUGCUGACAUUUGGAAGAUCAUGAAUUCCUACCUUUACUUUUGAAUAUGUAAUUGUUUAAGACUAUUUUGUUGACUAUUGUGAGAAUGUUUUGUUUAUGUUAAUUAGAUAGUGUUGAAAAUCUUAAGACUUUUGGAUUGUUUUUUAGAUAAUCUUGAAUGUAUUUUGACACAAUUAUUUAGUUAUAUGUGUUAUGAACC